This 332-nucleotide ribosomal RNA is filed under the name uncultured bacterium. RNAcentral describes it as "SSU rRNA". It matches the Rfam family "Bacterial small subunit ribosomal RNA", at positions 26 to 376 of the family's 1533-position model. The record is from RNAcentral.
AGGAUGAAUGCUGGCGGCGCGCCUAACACAUGCAAGUCGAGCGGAAAGGCCCUUCGGGGUACUCGAGCGGCGGACGGCUGAGUAACGCGUGGGAACAUGCCCCAAAGUGAGGAAUAACUGCCCGAAAGGGUAGCUAAUGCCGCAUAUGAUCUUCGGAUUAAAGGAUUUAUCCGCUUUGGGAGUGGCCCGCGUACGAUUAGGUAGUUGGUGAGGUAAAGGCUCACCAAGCCCACGAUCGUUAACUGGUCUGAGAGGAUGAUCAGUCAGACUGGAACUGAGACACGGUCCAGACUCCUACGGGAGGCAGCAGUGAGGAAUCUUCCACAAUGGGC